GUCCUUUAGAAUUUAAUUUAAGGUCUAACCUGCCCACUGAAUAAAUUAUUUUAAAUGGCCGCAGUAAUUUGACUGUGCAAAGGUAGCAUAAUCAUUAGUUUUUUAAUUGAAAGCUUGUAUGAAGGGUUGGACGAGGUAAAAUCUGUCUCUAAUAAAUUUAAUUUAGAAUUUAACUUUUAAGUCAAAAGGCUUAAAUGAUAUUAAAAGACGAGAAGACCCUAUAGAUCUUUAUAAUUAAAUUAUUAAAAUUAAUUAAGAAUUUUUAAAAUUUUAUUUAUUUAAUUAUUUUAUUGGGGUAAUAUAAAGAUUUAAAUAAUUCUUUUUUUUUAUUUACAUUGAUUUAUGAAUUUAUGAUCCAAUUUUAUUGAUUGUAAGAUUAAGUUACCUUAGGGAUAACAGCGUAAUUUUUUUAGAGAGUUCUUAUCGAUAAAAAAGUUUGCGACCUCGAUGUUGGAUUAAAGAUUAUUUCAGGUGUAGAAGUUUGAAAAUUUUGGUCUGUUCGACCAUUAAAUCUUUACAUGAUCUGAGUUCAGACCGGCGUAAGCCAGGUCGGUUUCUAUCUUUAAUAAAUUAUUAUAUUUUAGUACGAAAGGACCAAUUAUUUAAUAUAAAAUAUUUUAUUUUUUGAUUAUUAUUAA
RNAcentral lists this ribosomal RNA (638 nucleotides) under Nebria turcica. Its description in RNAcentral is "partial large subunit ribosomal RNA". The stretch from base 392 to 551 matches the Rfam family "Bacterial large subunit ribosomal RNA", at positions 2473 to 2632 of the family's 2925-position model. The record is from RNAcentral. Lineage: Eukaryota; Metazoa; Arthropoda; Insecta; Coleoptera; Carabidae.